This 2702-nucleotide long non-coding RNA is filed under the name Homo sapiens (human). Its description in RNAcentral is "non-protein coding lnc-REELD1-2:1". Lineage: Eukaryota; Metazoa; Chordata; Mammalia; Primates; Hominidae. The record is from RNAcentral.
CUAAUUGCCGAGCUGAGAUUGGGAAAGAAUUUUUCCUAACUCUGGUCUAGCAAGUGGCUGUAGGGAGGCCUUUCUCAAAAAUCAGCUGUAUUUGCCUUUGACAUUGUCCAGGAGCAGAGCACCAGGCUUUAUGUUGCUUGGCACAAGGCAGCUCCUCUGGUUAUGUGACUCCUGCUGAGAGGAUUUUCACAAUUUAUUAAUGAGCUUUCCACAACCCUGCUUUAUUCUCCAAACAGUUUUACGCUGUCUCUAGGAACAACAAAUAUAUCUGGGCACUGUGGUUGAAUGAAUACCAGACAAUUGUGUGAAUGUUGUAUUGGACUUCCUCUUCCCUCCCUUCCCAAUCUAAAUAGCAUUCCUAUUUCAGGAGCCGAUGGUGUGAUUCGAAACAACUGCUUGGUUGAAGGAUGGGGGGCAGGAUCGAGAAGGAGAGAGGGAAGGGGCAGUGCUGAUUCUGGAGAGGUGUAUGUAGUGUUUUGUCUUGGUUUAUUUUAAAGAUCAGAGAGUAAUUGGAAACAAUUAUUUUUUAAUUAAUAACUUGGGAAAGGUGAACAGAAGCAUUUCACAGGGUUUUACCGUGUGCACACUGAAAAUAAAACACUUUAUGCUAUGCUUCAAUAAUUUAUCACUUCUUGACAGGGGCUUGGAAAAGGUCCAGUAUGUAAGUACAAAUCACCAAUUUGCUCUUUUAUAAAUGAGUUCUUUUAAGGAGAAAAUGGAUGGCUCUCCAAGUGGAGCAUACAUGUUCUCAUUUGUUUUGUAGAAUAUGUGGGGCUGCAGGUUAUUGUGUCCCUUCAUUCACUUAUAUCAGCCACCUCUAAAAGCAAUUCCAUUGUAGUCUCCCACUAAUCUGUAGCGUCCUGUUUUUUCUAACUUCUUCCCUGACCUCGCCUUUGAUAUAUAAGUCUUUAUUUUCCCCUUGCCAUCUCUCUAGUUUAAUAGCUCUACAGUGGAGUACUGUUUUCAACCAUGGAACUACUUUUAAUCAAGAUCAACUUUGGGAAGUGCUGCCAUUUUUAUGGUAAUAAAGGACUGUAUUAUGCACUUGAACCCGCUCAAGUUGUCCCCUGUGUAUACCUUCACAUAGUAGAACCAUGAAACAAAGUGUAAAUGCUUAAAUUGCUUUGUUCUUAACUGUAGUCUCCUAGAGGUCAGUGAAUGAUUUCUAGUUGCAUUGUAGCGAAGACAUUUGUUCCAGGUUGAAGAAUUUUUUACUUGAGAACAUACAUUUUCCCUGUCUGUGUGCCCCCAAACCCUGUCUGCCACACUCUUUCUCUUGGGCUGUGACAAAACAGAAUGUUUAGCGAGAAACAAAAUUGUGCUCGAUUUUCAGACUAUCUGACUUCAUUUUCUGUUUUGGUCUUUGAGCUAUUCCUUGGCUAAUCUUCCAACAAGUCGAAUUGAUUCUUAUUUCAAAACUGUUUAUCCCAAAACAGAGCUGUUGACAAGUACAAAUACAGAUGGCAGACAUGUGGUAUGAUUUUCAUGUUCUCAUCUCAGCAUUCAGGAAGGGAAUGUUAUUGAAAGAUGGUUUACAUCUGAAGCUUUCUGCUCAAGGCAAUAUGGAAUGCAUGCUAGGAGCGCUUAAUUAUGCUUAAUUAAUAAUAGUAACAAAUGCUUACGGGAUUUCCUUAAGGUCUAAAAGUGCAGCAGCAUUGGACUUGCUGUGUAAGGCUUACCGCCCCGGAGGCUAUAAUAAUCUGUAACAAUAGAAGCAACCUCUAGGGGGUAAAAUUGUCUUUGAUAAUCACUGACUCUUGGGUGACCUCAGUACAGCAUUCCAGGCCAAAGAUCCAGAAUGUUCCCUUACUGGGGGCAGACACGCCUAUGAUUGCACUGACCUUUGUCCUCCGAGCAGAUGAUCCUCCAGAGUACUGGCUAGCUCUUAGAUUCAGAGGUAAAUCCCAGCCCAUGCUGUGGCCUUGCUGUUCCCCACAGCCCAACUGCAUUAACUAUAAUUUUUUUUUCUCCACAAAAAGAAAUUGUUGGUGAAAGGAAGACAACCUUCAGUUUUUCUCCCCACCGACCUGGUUUCAGGAGGCCGUGUGCUCAGUGGAGUGUCUCUGCCUGUCUUCGCUAAGCUUGCCCCUGACCAUUGUGGAGGUAGAUGCCACCUAAGAGUGGCAGGGUUAGUCCUGACCUCUGGGGUCUGAAUAUCCAGCAACUAUCUUAAUUCCAGUCGCUGCUGUCUGUUGUACCACCAGUACACAGCAGUACAGCUGUGUCUCUGUUGUUGACCGACUAACUUAGAUUCACUGUUGAAGUCCAAUUAGCCAGAGUGGGGGUGAAAAUGCAAGAGUGGACGGUGAGAGUGGUAUGUGUCAUGUACGACAGGACAGUGGAGAGAGCCCUCUCUGAUACCUGUUAGUCCCUCCUUUAAAAGAUGCGGGAGGUGGCCAGGGAGUGGGGAUUUCAGAAUGUGGUGGCAGAAAUCAGUUUGGCAUUUAUUGGAUGACAGCUGUAGGCAGGCACUGUGCUAUACCUUAGGGGGGUAGAUAAAAAAGGAAAUAUGACAUUGCACCUUCCAUACUGAGUUUGUAGGUUUGGGUAUUUAUGGGGGAAAGUGGUACCCUCCAUCCUUUUUUUAAAAAAUUGGGCCAAAAUUGUAAGAAUUCUUUUAAAAACCUGAACAUUUUAGAUGGAUUUGAGCAUCUCAACUGUAUGUUCGUAUCUUGAAAUUCCAAAUAAACUCAGGAGUGGAU